UUUUGAAACUUCAGGACUGGCAACUGGGGAAUUAAUAGAAAAGGGAAUCAACAAAGUCCACACCUCGGAGACACCGCAGGAGCCUGAUUUCUUCAGAACGAGAGCGAGAAGCCACCGCCAGUCACCAGUUGCCGGGUGCGCUCCGCACGAGCUCCGGCCGUCGCGGCCCCGCGCGGCGGAAGGGCUUCCGACACUCCCACCGCGCGCGGCGCCGCAACCUCCCUCCUUGGGCCCCUUCCAGGUGGUGUCAGAUCGCGAGCGUCCAGGAGGGGGCGGGACUUCCGUCUCCGUCUAGCCAAUUCCGGCUGCACCGGAAAUAACUAUUGAAAAAAGGAUUAAGGAUACGGCCACCUCAAGUUCCUGACGGGUCUUGUGGUCCACACCUGGGAAGGAAAACUGCGCUGGGGUCAUCUGUUCACUGCCAAGUUUUCGGGGUAGUGGAAACCAGGACAUGGACAGCCGCUUGCAGGAGAGAAGCUACGGCGACAGCUCCUCGCGCAGCAGGUCUGCGACCCAGCGAGAGAUCGCGAACGCGCGUGCGCGCCCGCCCUCUUCCCUCCGAUUGCCCUUCUCUUUUCCCUCCCUACCUGCCGCUCUGCAGUCUCUGCUGGUCCCUGGACCUACCCACACAUAUCGCUCAAAACUCCUUAGUGUCCCGAGUUUUUUCCAUUUCGUGCCGCGGUUAUUGAGGUAGCGCUAAGCCGAGCGCCUCCACUGGUCUUCAGCACCCUUUCUGGAAUACCCGCCAGUGCCUAGCACCAUGCUCAGUGAUGGGGAUACAGAGAGGAGGUCUUUGGGAAUAAGUUGGGAGCUGAAAGUGCUGACAGCAUUGGUGCUGUGUUAAACAGUAAAGAUGAGCAGAGAGAAAUUGCUGAAACGUACAGGGCUUCCUAUGAUACUUCUGCUCCACAUGCAAAAAUGCAAGUAUCAGGUUGAAGAAGAGACAGACGAAGACAAAGUGGGAGAAUAUAAUGCAAGUAGAGAGUGAGACGAUUUUAUGGUCAUGAAAAAUAAGUCCUUACAAUAAUAGAUUCUUAUGCAGGAAAAAAUUUAAUGGAAAGCUGAAUUUUAAAAUGUCUAAAAUAAUUGUCAGUAGCAUAUGUAUAAUUUUCAUUUAAGAGGUGUGUGGAUUAAAUUAGGCAACAUAUAAAAAGCACUUAACGUAAUGCCUACUCAGCAGUGGGCAAUAAUAUUCUUAAAUAAAAGUAAUGAGGAGUUAGGUGUAUCAGACACUGGAUAAUUGGAUUAACUUUCAAGAGGCUACAAUACUUUUUUCAGUUGUGUUAUUCACAUAGGGUAAUUCAAUUAAACUAUUUUAAGAAUUCAUGGGCCAGACAACUGUAGAACCAUUCUGAAAGAGGCCCAAGGAAAAAACCCAACUUCUAAACUUGUAAUUGUAGUAUUUAGUUGAAAAGAAAGUACUGUGG
Long non-coding RNA from Manis javanica (Malayan pangolin), 1427 nucleotides. RefSeq lists it as uncharacterized. NCBI's taxonomy places the organism in Eukaryota, Metazoa, Chordata, Mammalia, Pholidota, Manidae. The record is from RefSeq and is a predicted model, not a curated record.